GGGCAACUAGCUCAAUGGCAGAGCGUCUGGUUUACACCCAGAAGGUUAGAGGUUCGAGCCCUCUGUUGCCCA
This 72-nucleotide transfer RNA is filed under the name Candidatus Parcubacteria bacterium. RNAcentral's name for it is "tRNA-Val". It matches the Rfam family "tRNA". From Rfam's summary of the family: Transfer RNA (tRNA) molecules are approximately 80 nucleotides in length. Lineage: Bacteria; Candidatus Parcubacteria. The record is from RNAcentral.